RNAcentral lists this ribosomal RNA (2886 nucleotides) under human gut metagenome. RNAcentral describes it as "bacterial LSU rRNA". It matches the Rfam family "Bacterial large subunit ribosomal RNA". The record is from RNAcentral.
AUCUGCGACUAAGCGUACACGGUGGAUGCCCUGGCAGUCAGAGGCGAUGAAGGACGUGCUAAUCUGCGAUAAGCGUCGGUAAGGUGAUAUGAACCGUUAUAACCGGCGAUUUCCGAAUGGGGAAACCCAGUGUGUUUCGACACACUAUCAUUAACUGAAUCCAUAGGUUAAUGAGGCGAACCGGGGGAACUGAAACAUCUAAGUACCCCGAGGAAAAGAAAUCAACCGAGAUUCCCCCAGUAGCGGCGAGCGAACGGGGAGCAGCCCAGAGCCUGAAUCAGUGUGUGUGUUAGUGGAAGCGUCUGGAAAGGCGCGCGAUACAGGGUGACAGCCCCGUACACAAAAAUGCACAUGCUGUGAGCUCGAUGAGUAGGGCGGGACACGUGGUAUCCUGUCUGAAUAUGGGGGGACCAUCCUCCAAGGCUAAAUACUCCUGACUGACCGAUAGUGAACCAGUACCGUGAGGGAAAGGCGAAAAGAACCCCGGCGAGGGGAGUGAAAAAGAACCUGAAACCGUGUACGUACAAGCAGUGGGAGCACGCUUAGGCGUGUGACUGCGUACCUUUUGUAUAAUGGGUCAGCGACUUAUAUUCUGUAGCAAGGUUAACCGAAUAGGGGAGCCGAAGGGAAACCGAGUCUUAACUGGGCGUUAAGUUGCAGGGUAUAGACCCGAAACCCGGUGAUCUAGCCAUGGGCAGGUUGAAGGUUGGGUAACACUAACUGGAGGACCGAACCGACUAAUCUUGAAAAAUUAGCGGAUGACUUGUGGCUGGGGGUGAAAGGCCAAUCAAACCGGGAGAUAGCUGGUUCUCCCCGAAAGCUAUUUAGGUAGCGCCUCGUGAAUUCAUCUCCGGGGGUAGAGCACUGUUUCGGCAAGGGGGUCAUCCCGACUUACCAACCCGAUGCAAACUGCGAAUACCGGAGAAUGUUAUCACGGGAGACACACGGCGGGUGCUAACGUCCGUCGUGAAGAGGGAAACAACCCAGACCGCCAGCUAAGGUCCCAAAGUCAUGGUUAAGUGGGAAACGAUGUGGGAAGGCCCAGACAGCCAGGAUGUUGGCUUAGAAGCAGCCAUCAUUUAAAGAAAGCGUAAUAGCUCACUGGUCGAGUCGGCCUGCGCGGAAGAUGUAACGGGGCUAAACCAUGCACCGAAGCUGCGGCAGCGACGCUUAUGCGUUGUUGGGUAGGGGAGCGUUCUGUAAGCCUGCGAAGGUGUGCUGUGAGGCAUGCUGGAGGUAUCAGAAGUGCGAAUGCUGACAUAAGUAACGAUAAAGCGGGUGAAAAGCCCGCUCGCCGGAAGACCAAGGGUUCCUGUCCAACGUUAAUCGGGGCAGGGUGAGUCGACCCCUAAGGCGAGGCCGAAAGGCGUAGUCGAUGGGAAACAGGUUAAUAUUCCUGUACUUGGUGUUACUGCGAAGGGGGGACGGAGAAGGCUAUGUUGGCCGGGCGACGGUUGUCCCGGUUUAAGCGUGUAGGCUGGUUUUCCAGGCAAAUCCGGAAAAUCAAGGCUGAGGCGUGAUGACGAGGCACUACGGUGCUGAAGCAACAAAUGCCCUGCUUCCAGGAAAAGCCUCUAAGCAUCAGGUAACAUCAAAUCGUACCCCAAACCGACACAGGUGGUCAGGUAGAGAAUACCAAGGCGCUUGAGAGAACUCGGGUGAAGGAACUAGGCAAAAUGGUGCCGUAACUUCGGGAGAAGGCACGCUGAUAUGUAGGUGAAGCGACUUGCUCGUGGAGCUGAAAUCAGUCGAAGAUACCAGCUGGCUGCAACUGUUUAUUAAAAACACAGCACUGUGCAAACACGAAAGUGGACGUAUACGGUGUGACGCCUGCCCGGUGCCGGAAGGUUAAUUGAUGGGGUUAGCGCAAGCGAAGCUCUUGAUCGAAGCCCCGGUAAACGGCGGCCGUAACUAUAACGGUCCUAAGGUAGCGAAAUUCCUUGUCGGGUAAGUUCCGACCUGCACGAAUGGCGUAAUGAUGGCCAGGCUGUCUCCACCCGAGACUCAGUGAAAUUGAACUCGCUGUGAAGAUGCAGUGUACCCGCGGCAAGACGGAAAGACCCCGUGAACCUUUACUAUAGCUUGACACUGAACAUUGAGCCUUGAUGUGUAGGAUAGGUGGGAGGCUUUGAAGUGUGGACGCCAGUCUGCAUGGAGCCGACCUUGAAAUACCACCCUUUAAUGUUUGAUGUUCUAACGUUGACCCGUAAUCCGGGUUGCGGACAGUGUCUGGUGGGUAGUUUGACUGGGGCGGUCUCCUCCUAAAGAGUAACGGAGGAGCACGAAGGUUGGCUAAUCCUGGUCGGACAUCAGGAGGUUAGUGCAAUGGCAUAAGCCAGCUUGACUGCGAGCGUGACGGCGCGAGCAGGUGCGAAAGCAGGUCAUAGUGAUCCGGUGGUUCUGAAUGGAAGGGCCAUCGCUCAACGGAUAAAAGGUACUCCGGGGAUAACAGGCUGAUACCGCCCAAGAGUUCAUAUCGACGGCGGUGUUUGGCACCUCGAUGUCGGCUCAUCACAUCCUGGGGCUGAAGUAGGUCCCAAGGGUAUGGCUGUUCGCCAUUUAAAGUGGUACGCGAGCUGGGUUUAGAACGUCGUGAGACAGUUCGGUCCCUAUCUGCCGUGGGCGCUGGAGAACUGAGGGGGGCUGCUCCUAGUACGAGAGGACCGGAGUGGACGCAUCACUGGUGUUCGGGUUGUCAUGCCAAUGGCACUGCCCGGUAGCUAAAUGCGGAAGAGAUAAGUGCUGAAAGCAUCUAAGCACGAAACUUGCCCCGAGAUGAGUUCUCCCUGACUCCUUGAGAGUCCUGAAGGAACGUUGAAGACGACGACGUUGAUAGGCCGGGUGUGUAAGCGCAGCGAUGCGUUGAGCUAACCGGUACUAAUGAAC